Molecule: transfer RNA, 73 nt
Filed under: Planctomycetota bacterium
Lineage: Bacteria; Pseudomonadati; Planctomycetota
Also listed under: 2 other names
Description: Planctomycetes bacterium tRNA-Arg
Rfam family: tRNA
About the family: Transfer RNA (tRNA) molecules are approximately 80 nucleotides in length. Their secondary structure includes four short double-helical elements and three loops (D, anti-codon, and T loops).
Source: RNAcentral
GCGCUCGUAGCUCAGGGGAUAGAGCAUCGGUUUCCUAAAUCGAGGGUCGUUGGUUCGAUUCCAACCGGGCGCA